Molecule: ribosomal RNA, 416 nt
Filed under: Boophis quasiboehmei
Lineage: Eukaryota; Metazoa; Chordata; Amphibia; Anura; Mantellidae
Description: partial 16S ribosomal RNA
Rfam family: Bacterial large subunit ribosomal RNA
Source: RNAcentral
CCCCCCUCUAAUCAGUGAAACUGAUCUCCCCGUGAAGAAGCGGGGAUAUACAUAUAAGACGAGAAGACCCCAUGGAGCUUUAAACCUGACAGCACCCGCUCAUUCUAUACCCCAUUAUUUGCCCGACCCCUGUCUGCUCAGUUUUAGGUUGGGGUGACCACGGAGUAUAAAAUAACCUCCAUGAAGAAGGGGAUAUUUCCCUUAUUAGAGAACUACACUUCCAAGAACUAAUAAAUUAAUUUUCAAUGACCCGAUACCCGAUAAUCGAUCAACGAACCAAGUUACCCUGGGGAUAACAGCGCAAUCCACCCUGAAAGCCCUUAUUAACAGGUGGGUUUACGACCUCGAUGUUGGAUCAGGGUAUCCCAGUGGUGCAGCAGCUACUGAGGGUUCGUUUGUUCAACGAUUAAAACCCU